RNAcentral lists this ribosomal RNA (301 nucleotides) under uncultured bacterium. RNAcentral describes it as "partial 16S ribosomal RNA". It matches the Rfam family "Bacterial small subunit ribosomal RNA", at positions 509 to 808 of the family's 1533-position model. The record is from RNAcentral.
CAGUCGCCGCGGUAAUACAGAGGGUGCGAGCGUUAAUCGGAUUUACUGGGCGUAAAGCGUGCGUAGGUGGUGGUUUAAGUCCGUUGUGAAAGCCUGGGCUCAACCUGGGAAUUGCAGUGGAUACUGGGUCACUAGAGUGUGGUAGAGGAUAGUGGAAUUUCCGGUGUAGCAGUGAAAUGCGUAGAGAUCGGAAGGAACAUCUGUGGCGAAGGCGACUAUCUGGGCCAACACUGACACUGAGGCACGAAAGCGUGGGGAGCAAACAGGAUUAGAUACCCCUGUAGUCCCUGUCUCUUAUACA